GUGCGGUAGGUUUGAAAUGGACAUAAGCGGAGAAGAAGUUUGAAGAAGCCAUUUGGAUGAGUAAUGAAACGUUUCCACUGAACUACUGUAGGAAAAGUCCAGUUAACAUGACUCAACUUCCAGAUAUUCGUGACUCGAGGUUUUUGUUCCAGUGCAAAUCAGUGUGGUCGUAGUUAUCACAACGAUAUACUGUUGAACAAAAACUACUGGAAGAGUUUAACUUCUGGCAUGCACGGGACUCAGGCAAGUAAAUGCAAUUUUAAAAUAAAUGAAAACAAUUUACCCGACAAAUAAAAACAAUAUAAAAAAACAAUUAAUCUAUCUAUCUAUCUAUCUAUCUAUCUAUCUAUCUAUCUAUCUAUCUAUCUACUUAAUGAUUAUGUAUUAAUCCUUCCGUGGUAGAAUUAUUAAAUACAUACAUAAAGCAUUUCGUCAUAAAAAUAUGAAGUGGAUUUUUCCUCAAGCACAGUUUGUGCCCUUUCAACCAAAGAGUUACAUUAACGAAAGUAUUUAUUUUUUCAUACUUAAUGUGUAGGAAAUAAAAAAAAAAUCAAGCACUGCAGUAUUCCUAGAAAGCAAAUCUAUGUAAAACAUCGUUUAAACAUAUAUUUACAAAUAAACAAAUACUGAUUUCGUGUUCAUUAUAUACACAUCGUUACGCCUGCAUCAUGCUGUAUUUCUGACAUAUGCACUACAUAGGCUUACAGACCCAGAGGAAGACAGCAGACAGAAGAAAACGUUCAGUUCUGGUCUGAGUUGUUGCAAUGUGUUCGAAAUGGUCUAGGCAAUGAAGGAGCUUCUCUUCCAGCUAUUUAGUGGAAAUCGGUGCGAAUUUUGCAUGCUUGUCAAUCCAGCAAGGUACAGAAAUCAUUUAAUUCAUUUUACAAACGUGACAGAACAGAUGUAGCACCAUCAACGCGGCUAAAUGGAUUAUGUGGUUCUAGUCAACCGCACACAUUUACAAUAUGAUCCCAUGCAGUAUUCCACCUGUUACAUUAACCACUACAGAAAAUGUCAGUAGCAUCCUGCAGCCCCUCAGAAAAGGUGCCGACCCAGUUUCUUCUUAUACAUAAAAGUUUCAUUUUACACUCCAUUAAAUUAUGCAAAUUUGGUCCCCACUCUCAAUUGAAUAAAGUUGAACCACCAAAGAGCAGAUUCCAUGAGUACAGCCUCAACUGCCACCAUGUUGCUAGUUUAUUUCCUGGUGCUGCUUAACGUGGCGUCCUGUGUACUUGGUGCAAUUGAUUUUGUUCAGCCAGGUCAUGUCACUGUCCAGCCUGGACAGACAUUGACUAUUGGAUGUAAAGUGUCUGGAUAUAGUUUAACUGACAGCAGCUACUGUACAAACUGGAUCCGUCAUGCUACAGGAAAAGCUAUGCAGUGGGUUGGAUACAUUUGUAGCCGUGGUAGCACAGGGUGCACUGAUUCACUGAAAAACAGGUUCAGCAUCACUCAGGAUACCUCCAGCAACACAGUGACUCUUCAUGUACAAAAAACCUUAGACCAACCUUGUGUCUUUGAUCAUAGUCAGCUUUCUGUAAAUGUUCUGUAAAUACAAGACAUCAUAAUGCUCACAUAAUGUACAUUGUGGAAUAUUAACAUGAUGUAAAAGAAUAGAAUAGAGUGUUACAUGACAGUUUGACAGUUUUUUCC
Long non-coding RNA from Clarias gariepinus (North African catfish), 1653 nucleotides. RefSeq lists it as uncharacterized. Lineage: Eukaryota; Metazoa; Chordata; Actinopteri; Siluriformes; Clariidae. The record is from RefSeq and is a predicted model, not a curated record. The transcript is spliced from 3 exons.